RNAcentral lists this ribosomal RNA (1343 nucleotides) under uncultured bacterium. RNAcentral describes it as "16S ribosomal RNA". It matches the Rfam family "Bacterial small subunit ribosomal RNA", at positions 28 to 1378 of the family's 1533-position model. The record is from RNAcentral.
GACGAACGCUGGCGGCGUGCUUAACACAUGCAAGUCGAACGGAAAGGCCCUGCUUUUGUGGGGUGCUCGAGUGGCGAACGGGUGAGUAACACGUGAGUAACCUGCCCUUGACUUUGGGAUAACUUCAGGAAACUGGGGCUAAUACCGGAUAGGAGCUCCUGCUGCAUGGUGGGGGUUGGAAAGUUUCGGCGGUUGGGGAUGGACUCGCGGCUUAUCAGCUUGUUGGUGGGGUAGUGGCUUACCAAGGCUUUGACGGGUAGCCGGCCUGAGAGGGUGACCGGCCACAUUGGGACUGAGAUACGGCCCAGACUCCUACGGGAGGCAGCAGUGGGGAAUAUUGCACAAUGGGCGGAAGCCUGAUGCAGCAACGCCGCGUGCGGGAUGACGGCCUUCGGGUUGUAAACCGCUUUCGCCUGUGACGAAGCGUGAGUGACGGUAAUGGGUAAAGAAGCACCGGCUAACUACGUGCCAGCAGCCGCGGUGAUACGUAGGGUGCGAGCGUUGUCCGGAUUUAUUGGGCGUAAAGGGCUCGUAGGUGGUUGAUCGCGUCGGAAGUGUAAUCUUGGGGCUUAACCCUGAGCGUGCUUUCGAUACGGGUUGACUUGAGGAAGGUAGGGGAGAAUGGAAUUCCUGGUGGAGCGGUGGAAUGCGCAGAUAUCAGGAGGAACACCAGUGGCGAAGGCGGUUCUCUGGGCCUUUCCUGACGCUGAGGAGCGAAAGCGUGGGGAGCGAACAGGCUUAGAUACCCUGGUAGUCCACGCUGUAAACGGUGGGUACUAGGUGUGGGGUCCAUUCCACGGGUUCCGUGCCGUAGCUAACGCUUUAAGUACCCCGCCUGGGGAGUACGGCCGCAAGGCUAAAACUCAAAGGAAUUGACGGGGCCCCGCACAAGCGGCGGAGCAUGCGGAUUAAUUCGAUGCAACGCGUAGAACCUUACCUGGGUUUGACAUGGAUCGGGAGUGCUCAGAGAUGGGUGUGCCUCCUUUGGGGUCGGUUCACAGGUGGUGCAUGGCUGUCGUCAGCUCGUGUCGUGAGAUGUUGGGUUAAGUCCCGCAACGAGCGCAACCCUUGUUCACUGUUGCCAGCACGUUAUGGUGGGGACUCAGUGGAGACCGCCGGGGUCAACUCGGAGGAAGGUGGGGAUGACGUCAAGUCAUCAUGCCCCUUAUGUCCAGGGCUUCACGCAUGCUACAAUGGCUGGUACAGAGAGUGGCGAGCCUGUGAGGGUGAGCGAAUCUCGGAAAGCCGGUCUCAGUUCGGAUUGGGGUCUGCAACUCGACCUCAUGAAGUCGGAGUCGCUAGUAAUCGCAGAUCAGCAACGCUGCGGUGAAUACGUUCCCGGG